Non-coding RNA from Xyrichtys novacula (pearly razorfish), 18508 nucleotides. Lineage: Eukaryota; Metazoa; Chordata; Actinopteri; Labriformes; Labridae. The record is from the annotation of a GenBank genome assembly.
UUUUUGAACUUCAGUUUGUGUGGUGUUUUUGAACUUGAGUUUCUGUUGUUUUUGAACUUGAGGUUGUGGAAAUUGUUAAACCUGAGAAUCGGGUGUUGGUUGUACUUGAGUUUGUUUGUUUUUUUGAACUUGAGUUUGUGUCGUGUAUGAACUUGAGUUUGUGGUGUUUUUUGAAUUGAGGUUGUGGCGUGUUUGAACUUGAGUUUGUGUGUUUUUUGGUGUUUUUUGAACUCAAGGUUGUGGAAAUUGUUAAACUUGAGAAUUGGGUGUUGUAUGAACUUGAGUUUGUGGCGUGUUUCAAAAUGAGUUUGUGGCGUGUUUGAACUUGAGUUUGUGUUGUUUUUGAACUUGAGGUUGUGGCAAUUGUUAAACUUGAGAUUUGGGUGUUGGUUUAAUUUAAAAUUUUCACAUUUAUUGAACUUGAGUUUGUGGUUUUUUGUUGAACUUGAGGUUGUGGUUUUUUUGAACUUGAGUUUGUGUUUUUGUUGAACUUGAGUUUUUGGCAUGUUUGAAUUUGAGGUUGUUGCAAUUCUUAAACUUGAGUUUGUGGUGUUUGUUGAACUUGAGUUUGUAUCGUGUUUGAAAUUGAGUUUGUGGUGUUUUUGAACUUGAGUUUGUGUGUUUUUUGAACUUGAGUUUGUGGUGUUUUUGAACUUCAGUUUGUGGCACUUUUUUAACUUGAGUUUGUUGAACUUUAGUUUUUGGCAAUUGUUAAAUGUGAGUUUAGGUCAUUUGUUGAACUUGAAAUUUUGGAAUUUGUUGAACUUAAGAUUGUGGUGUUUGUUGAACUUGAGUUUGUGGCAAUUGUAUUGCCACAAACUUGAGUUUGUGUGUUUGUUGAACCUGAGUUUGUGUCUUGUUUGAACUUGAGAUUGCUGUUUUGUGAUCUUGAAUUUGUGUGGGUUUUUUUUAACUUGAGUUUUUGGUGUUUUUGAAUUUGAGUUUCUGUUGUUUUUGAACAUGAGGUUGUGGCAAUUGUUAAACGUGAGAAUUGGGUAUUGGUUAAACUUGAGUUUGUGUGUUUUUUGAACCUGAGUUUGUGUCGUGUUUGAACUUGAGAUUGUGCUGUUUUGUGAUCUUAAAUUUGUGUGGGUUUUUUUCACUUGAGUUUUUGGUGUUUUUGAAUUUGAGUUUCUGUUGUUUUUGAACAUGAGGUUGUGGCAAUUGUUAAACUUGAGAUUUGGGUGCUGGUUGAAAUUAAGUUUCGGCAUUUUUGAACUUGAGUUUGUGGUGUUUUUGAACUUGAAUUUGUGUGUUUUUUGAACCUGAGUUUUUUGCAAUUUUUGAACUUGAGUUUGUUGAACUUGAGUUUUUGGCAAUUGUUUAAUGUGAGUAUAGGUCAUUUGUUGAAUUUGAAAUGUUGGCCUUUUUUGAACUUAAGCUUGUGGUGUUUGUUGAACUCCAGUUUGUGGCAAUUGUUAACGUUGAGUCUGUAUUUUUCUCUGAACUUAAGUUGGUGGCAAUUGUUGAACUUGAAUUUGUGGUGUUUGUUGUACUUGAGUUUGUGGCGUGUUUGAACUUGAGUUUCUGUUGCUUUGAUCUUGAGGUUGUGGAAAUUGUUAAACUUGAGAUUUGGGAUUUGGUUGAACUUAAGUUUGUGUAUCGUGUUUAAACUUGAGUUUGUGGUUUUUUUGAUCUUGAGCUUGUGUGUUUUUUGAACUGAAGUUUGUGGCAACUGUUAAACUUGUGACUUGGGUGUUGGUUGAACUUGAGUUUGUGGUGUUUUUGAACUAGAUUUUCUGGUUAUUUUUGAACUUGAGUCUGUGUGUUUUUUGAACUUGAGUUUGUGGUGUGUCUGAACUUGAGUUUUUGUUUUUUUUUAACUGGAGGUUGUGGAAAUUGUUAAACUUGCGAAUUGGGCAUUGAGUGAACUUGAGUUCGUGUGUUGAACUUGAGUUUUUGUUGUUUAGAACUUGAGUUUGUGGUGUUUUUGAACUUGAGUUUGUGUGUUUGUUGAACUUGAGUUUUUGUGUGUUUGAACUUGAGUUUGUGUCGUGUUUGAACUUGAGUCUGUCGUGUUUCAACUUGAGUUUGUGUCGUGUUUGAACUUGAGUCUGUCGUGUUUCAACUUGAGUUUGUGUCGUGUUUAAACUUGAGUUUGUUGCAAUUUUUGAACUUGAGUUUUGAACUUGAGUCUUUGGUUUUUAGUGUCCUUAAGUUGGUGGAAAUAUUUAAACUUGAGUUUGUCGCGUGUUUGAACUUGAGUUUGUGUUGUUUUUUAACUUGAGGUUGUGGCAAUUGUUAAACUUGAGAUUUGGGUGUUGGUUGAACUUGAGUUUGUGUUGUGUUUGAACUUGAGUUUGUGGUGUUUUUGAACCUAAGUUUGUGUGUUUGUUGAACUUGAGUUUGUGGCGUGUUUGAAGUUGAGUUUGUGGUGUUUUUGAAGUUGAGGUUGUGGCAAUUGUUAAACUAGAGAUUUGGGUGUUGGUUGAAAUUCAGUUUGUGGCCUUAUUUGAACUUGAGUUUUUGUCGUGCUUGGACUUGAGUCUUUGGCGUGUUUUUGAACUUGAGGUUUUUGAAAUUGUUAAACUUGAGAAUUGGGUAUUGAUUGAACUUGAGUUCAUGUGUUUGUUGAACUUUAGUUUGUGUCGUCAAGAACUUGAGUUUGUGGUGUUUUUGAACUUGAGAAUGUGGAAAUUGUUAAACCUGAGAUUUGGGUAUUGGUUAAACUUGAGUUUGUGUGUUUGUUGAACCUGAGUUUGUGUCGUGUUUGAACUUGAGAUUGUGGUGUUUUUGAACUUGAAUUUUUGUGUUUUUUUUAACUUGAGUUUUCGGAGUUUUUUAAUUUGAGUUUCUGUUGUCUUUGAACUUGAAGUUUUUGCAAUUGUUAAAAUUGAGAUUUGGGUGUUGGUUGAAAUUCAGAUUCGGUGUUGUGGUGUUUUUGAACUUGAAUUUGUGUGUUUUUUGAACUUGAGCUUUUUGCAAUUUUUGAACUUGAGUUUGUUGAACUUGAGUUUGUGGCAAUUGUUAAAUGUGAGUAUAGGUCAUUUGUUGAAUUUGAAAUUUUGGCAUUUUUUGAACUGAAGAUUGUGGUGUUUGUUGAACUUGAGUUUGUGGCAAUUGUUGAACUUGAGUCUGUAUUGUUCCCUGAACUUGAGUUUGUGGCAAUUGUUGAACUUGAGUUUGUGGCGUUUGUUGUACUUGAGUUUGUGGCGUGUUUGAACUUGAGUUUCUGUUGUUUUUUGAACUUAAGGGUGGUAAAAUUGUUAAACUUGAGACUUGGGAUUUGGUUGAAUUUGAGUUUGUGUCGUGUUUUAAGUUGAGUUUGUGUCGUGUUUGAACUUGAGUUACUGUUGUUUUGUGUCCUGAGUUUGUGUCCUGUUCGAACUUGAGUUUUUUUGUUUGUCUAACUUGAGAUUGUGGCGUGUUUUAACUUGAAUUUUUGUUGUUUUUUAACUUGAGGUUUUGGCAAUUGUUAAUCUUUUUUGGGGUGUUGGUUGAACUUAAAACUUUGACAUAUGUUGAACUUGACUUUGUGGUGUUCAUUUAACUUGAGUUUGUGUCUUGUUUGAACUUGACUUUUUUGUGUUUUUGAACUUGAGUUUGUUUGUCUUGUUUGAACUUGAGUCUGGUGUUUUUGAUCUUUUUCUGUUUUCUGUUGCUUUUGAUCUUGAGGUUUUGGAAAUUGUUAAACUUGAGAUUUGGGAUUUGGUUGAACUUGAGUUUGUGUAUCUUGUUUGAACUUGAGUUUGUGGUGUUUUUGAUCUUGAGCUUGUGUGUUUUUUGAACUGAAGUUUGUGGCAAUUGUUAAACUUGUGACUUGGGUGUUGGUUGAACUUGAGUUUGUGGUGUGUCUGAACUAGAGUUUUUGUUUUUUUUAACUUGAGGUUGUAGAAAUUGUUAAACUUGCGAAUUGGGCAUUGGUUGAACUUGAGUUUGUGUGUUUGUUGAACUUGAGUUUUUGUCGUUAAGAACUUGAGAUUGUGGCGUGUUUGAACUUGAGUUUCUGUUGCUUUGAUCUUGAGGUUGUGGCAAUUGUUAAACUUGAGAUUUGGGUGUUGGUUGAACUUGAGUUUGUGGUGUUUUUUGAACUUGACUUUGUGUCGUGUUUGAAUUUGAGUUUGUGUGUUUUUUUAUCUUAAGUUUGUGGCAAUUUAUGAACUUGAGUUUGUUGAACUUGAGUUUGUGGUCUUUGUUCAACUUAAGUUUGUGGUUUUUAGUGAACUCUAGUUGGUGGCAUCUUUGAACUUGAGUUUGUGGCUUUUGUUGAACUUGAGUUUGUGAUGUGUUUGAACUUGAGUUUGUGGCGUGUUUGAACUUGAGUUUCUGUUGUCUUUGAACUUGAAGUUGUGGCAAUUGUUAAACUUGAGGUUUGGGUGUUGGUUGAUCUUGAGUUUGUGUCUUGUUUGAACUUUUGUUUUUGGAUUGUUUGAACUAGAGUUUGUGUGUGUUUUGAACUUAAGUUUGUGGCCACUUAUGAACUUGAGUAUGUUGAAAUUAAGUUUGUGGCAAAUGUUGCACUUGACUGUGUUUUUUUUUAACUUGAGUUUGUGUCGUGUUUGCAUUCUAGGUUGUGGUGUUUUUGAACUUGAGUUUGUGUGUUUGUUGAACUUGAAGUUGUGGCAAUUAUUGAACUUGAGUCUGUAUUUUUCUCUAAACUUUAGUUGGUGGCAAUUGUUGAACUUGAGUUUGUGGUGUUUUUGCACCUGAGUUUGUGUCGUGUUUGAACUUGAGUUUGUGUUGUGUUUGAACUUGAGGUUGUGGAAAUUGUUAAAUGUGAGAAUUGGGUAUUGGUUAAACUUGAGAUUGUGUGUUUGUUGAACCUGAGUUUGUGUGUUUUUUUAACUGAAGUUUUUGGUGUUUUUGAAUUUGAGUUGGGUUUUUUUUUAACUUGAGGUUGUGGCAAUUGUUGAACUUGAGAUUUGGGAUUUUGUUGAACUUGAGUUUGUGUCAUGUUUGAACUUCAGUUUGGGGUGUUUUUGAACUUGAGCUUGUGUGUUUUUUGAACUUAAAUUUGUGUUGUUAAGAACUUGAGUUUGUGGUGUUUUUGAACUUGAGUUUGUGUGUUUGUUGAACUUGGGUUUGUGGCGUGUUUGAACUUGAGUUUCUGUUUUUUUUUAACUUGAUUUUGUGGCAAUUGUUAAACUUGAUAUUUGGGUGUUGGUUGAACUUCAAACUUUGAAAUUUGUUGAACUUGAGUUUGUGGUGUUCGUUGAACUUCAGUUUCGGCAUUGUUUAACUUGAGUUUGUGUGUUUUUGAACUUGAGUUUGUUGAACUUGAGUUUUUGGCAAUUGUUAAAUGUGAGUUUAGGUCAUUUGUUGAACUUGAGAUUGUGGUGUUGGUUGAACUUGAGUUUGUGGCAAUUGUUGAACUUGAGUCUGUAUUUUUCACUGUACUUUAGUUUGUAGCGUUUGUUGUACUUGAGUUUGUGGCGUUUGUUGUACUUGAGUAUGUGUCUUGUUUGAACUUGAGUUUGUGGUGUUUUUGAACGUGAGUUGGGGUUUUUUUUAACUUGAGGUUGUGGCAAUUGUUAUACUUGAGUUUGUGUUUUAGUUGAACUUGAGUUUGUGUCAUGUUUGAACUUCAGUUUUUGUGUUUGUUGAACUUUAGUUUAUGUUGUGUUUGAACUUGAGUUUUUGUUGUAUUUGAAAUUGACUUUGUGUGUUUGUUGAACUUGAGUCUGUGUUGUGUUUGAACUUGAGUUUGUGGUGUUUUUGAAAUUCAGGUUAUGUUGUUUUUUGAACUUGAGUUUGUGGCGUAUUAAUACUUGAGUUUCUGUUGUUUUUGAACUUGAGGUUUUGGAUAUUGUCAAAUUUGAGUUUUGAGUGUUGGUUGAACUUGAGUUUAUGUCGUGUUUGAACUUGAGUUUGUGGUGUGUUUGAACUAGAGUUUGUGUGUUUUUUGAACUUGAGGUUGUGUCAAUUGUUUAACUUGAGAUUUGGGUGUUGGUUGAACUUGAGUUUGUGUUGUUUUUGAACUUGAGUUUGUGGCGUUUCUGAACUUGAGUUGGUGGUGUUUUUGAACUUGAGUUUCAUGUUUGAACUUGAUUUUGUGGUUUUUGUUGAACUUGAGUUUGUGUCGUGUUUGAACUUCAGUUUUCUGUCAAUUGUUGAACUUGAGUCUGGUUUUUUGUGAACUUUACUUGGUGGCAAUUGUUGAACUUGAGUUUUUGGUGUUUGUUGAACUUGAGUUUGUGUCAUGUUUGAACUUGAGUUUGUUGUGUGUUUGAACUUGAGUUGGUUUGUUUGAUGAACUUUAGGUUGUGGCAAUUGUUUAACUUGAGAUUUGAGUGUUGGUUCAACUUGAGUUUGUGGCGUGUUUGAAGUUGAGUUCUUGUUUGUUGAACUUCAUUUUGUGUGUUUUUUGAAAUUGAGGUUGUGAAAAUUUUUAAACUUGAGAAUCAGGUGUUGGUUGAAAUUGAGUUUGUGUCGUGUUUGAACUUGAGUUUGUGGUGUAUUUGAACUUGAGUUCGUGUGUUUGAUGAACUUGAGUUUGUGUGUUUGUUGAACUUGAGUUUGUGUGUUUGUUGAACUUGAGUUUGUGUUGUGUUUGAACUUGAGUUUUUGGUGUUUUUGAAUUUGAGUUUAUGUUGUUUUUGAACAUGAGGUUGUGGCAAUUGUUAAACGUGAGAAUUGGGUAUUGGUUAAACUUGAGUUUGUGUGUUUUUUUAACCUGAGUUUGUGUCGUGUUUGAACUUGAGAUUGUGCUGUUUUGUGAUCUUAAAUUUGUGUGGUUUUUUUUCACUUGAGUUUUUGGUGUUUUUGAAUUUGAGUUUCUGUUGUUUUUGAAAAUGAGGUUGUGGCAAUUGUUUUACUUUAGAUUUGGGUGUUGGUUGAAAUUAAGUUUCGGCAUUUUUGAACUUGAGUUUGUGGUGUUUUUGAACUUGAAUUUGUGUGUUUUUUGAACCUGAGUUUUUUGCAAUUUUUGAACUUGAGUUUGUUGAACUUGAGUGUUUGGCAAUUGUUUAAUGUGAGUAUAGGUCAUUUGUUGAAUUUGAAAUGUUGGCCUUUUUUUAACUUAAGCUUGUGGUGUUUGUUGAACUUGAGUUUGUGGCAAUUGUUAACGUUGAGUCUGUAUUUUUCUCUGAACUUUUGUUGGUGGCAAUUGUUGAACUUGAAUUUGUGGCGUUUGUUGUACUUGAGUUUGUGGCAUGUUUGAAUUUGAGUUUCUGUUGCUUUUGAUCUUGAAGUUGUGGAAAUUUUUAAACUUGAGAUUUGGGAUUGGUUGAACUUGAGUUUGUGUUGUGUUUGAACUUGAGGUUGUGGAAAUUGUUAAAUGUGAGAAUUGAGUAUUGGUUAAACUUGAGAUUGUGUGUUUGUUGAACCUGAGUUUGUGUGGUUUUUUAACUGAAGUUUUUGGUGUUUUUGAAUUUGAGUUUCUGUUGUUUUUGAAAAUGAGGUUGUGGCAAUUGUUUUACUUUAGAUUUGGGUGUUUGUUGAAAUUAAGUUUCGGCAUUUUUGAACUUGAGUUUGUGGUGUUUUUGAACUUGAAUUUGUGUGUUUUUUGAACCUGAGUUUUUUGCAAUUUUUGAACUUGAGUUUGUUGAACUUGAGUUUUUGGCAAUUGUUUAAUGUGAGUAUAGGUCAUUUGUUGAAUUUGAAAUGUUGGCCUUUUUUUAACUUAAGCUUGUGGUGUUUGUUGAACUUGAGUUUGUGGCAAUUGUUAACGUUGAGUCUGUAUUUUUCUCUGAACUUUUGUUGGUGGCAAUUGUUGAACUUGAAUUUGUGGCGUUUGAUGUACUUGAGUUUGUGGCAUGUUUGAAUUUGAGUUUCUAUUGCUUUUGAUCUUGAAGUUGUGAAAAUUUUUAAACUUGAGAUUUGGGAUUUGGUUGAACUUGAGUUUGUGUAUUGUGUUUGAACUUGAGUUUGUGGUGUUUUUGAUCUUGAGCUUGUGUGUUUUUUGAACUGAAGUUUGAGGCAAUUGUUAAACUUGAGAUUUUGGUGUUGGUUUAACCCGAGUUUGUGGUGUUUUUUAACUUGAGGUUGUGGCGUUUGUUGAACUUGAGUUUGUGGCGUGUUUUAACUUGAAUUUUUGUUGUUUUUUAACUUGAGGUUUUGGCAACUGUUAAACUUCAGAUUUGGGUGUUGGUUGAACUUAAAACUUUGACAUUUGUUGAGCUUGAGUUUGGGAUGUUCAUUUUACUUGAAUUUGUGUCUUGUUGGAACUUGACUUCGUGGUGUUUUUGAACUUGAUUUUGUGUAUUUUUUGAACUUGAGUCUUUGGUGUUUUUGAACUUUAGUUUGUGUUUUUUUAACUUAAGUUUGUGGUAAUUGUUAAACUUGAGAUUUGUGUGUUGGUUGAAUAUGAGUUUGUGGUGUUUUUGAACUUGAGUUUCUGUGUUUUUUUAACUUAGAUUUGUGGCAAUUGUUAAACUUGAGUUUGUGUCGUGUUUGAACUUGAGUUUUUUGUGUUUUUGAACUUGAGUUUGUGUGUUUGUUGAACUAGAGUUUGUGGUGUGUUUUAACUUGAGUUUCUGUUGUUUUUGAACUUGAGGUUGUGGAAAUUGUUGAACUUGAGAUUUGGGAUUUUGUUGAACUUGAGUUUGUGUCAUGUUUGAACUUCAGUUUGGGGUGUUUUUGAACUUGAGCUUGUGUGUUUUUUGAACUUAAAUUUGUGUUGUUAAGAACUUGAGUUUGUGGUGUUUUUGAACUUGAGUUUGUGUGUUUGUUGAACUUGGGUUUGUGGCGUGUUUGAACUUGAGUUUCUGUUUUUUUUUAACUUGAUUUUGUGGCAAUUGUUAAACUUGAUAUUUGGGUGUUGGUUGAACUUCAAACUUUGAAAUUUGUUGAACUUGAGUUUGUGGUGUUCGUUGAACUUCAGUUUCGGCAUUGUUUAACUUGAGUUUGUGUGUUUUUGAACUUGAGUUUGUUGAACUUGAGUUUUUGGCAAUUGUUAAAUGUGAGUUUAGGUCAUUUGUUGAACUUGAGAUUGUGGUGUUGGUUGAACUUGAGUUUGUGGCAAUUGUUGAACUUGAGUCUGUAUUUUUCACUGUACUUUAGUUUGUAGCGUUUGUUGUACUUGAGUUUGUGGCGUUUGUUGUACUUGAGUAUGUGUCUUGUUUGAACUUGAGUUUGUGGUGUUUUUGAACGUGAGUUGGGGUUUUUUUUAACUUGAGGUUGUGGCAAUUGUUAUACUUGAGUUUGUGUUUUAGUUGAACUUGAGUUUGUGUCAUGUUUGAACUUCAGUUUUUGUGUUUGUUGAACUUUAGUUUAUGUUGUGUUUGAACUUGAGUUUUUGUUGUAUUUGAAAUUGACUUUGUGUGUUUGUUGAACUUGAGUCUGUGUUGUGUUUGAACUUGAGUUUGUGGUGUUUUUGAAAUUCAGGUUAUGUUGUUUUUUGAACUUGAGUUUGUGGCGUAUUAAUACUUGAGUUUCUGUUGUUUUUGAACUUGAGGUUUUGGAUAUUGUCAAAUUUGAGUUUUGAGUGUUGGUUGAACUUGAGUUUAUGUCGUGUUUGAACUUGAGUUUGUGGUGUGUUUGAACUAGAGUUUGUGUGUUUUUUGAACUUGAGGUUGUGUCAAUUGUUUAACUUGAGAUUUGGGUGUUGGUUGAACUUGAGUUUGUGUUGUUUUUGAACUUGAGUUUGUGGCGUUUCUGAACUUGAGUUGGUGGUGUUUUUGAACUUGAGUUUCAUGUUUGAACUUGAUUUUGUGGUUUUUGUUGAACUUGAGUUUGUGUCGUGUUUGAACUUCAGUUUUCUGUCAAUUGUUGAACUUGGGUCUGGUUUUUGUGAACUUUACUUGGUGGCAAUUGUUGAACUUGAGUUUUUGGUGUUUGUUGAACUUGAGUUUGUGUCAUGUUUGAACUUGAGUUUGUUGUGUGUUUGAACUUGAGUUGGUUUGUUUGAUGAACUUUAGGUUGUGGCAAUUGUUUAACUUGAGAUUUGAGUGUUGGUUCAACUUGAGUUCGUGGCGUGUUUGAAGUUGAGUUCUUGUUUGUUGAACUUCAUUUUGUGUGUUUUUUGAAAUUGAGGUUGUGAAAAUUUAUAAACUUGAGAAUCAGGUGUUGGUUGAAAUUGAGUUUGUGUCGUGUUUGAACUUGAGUUUGUGGUGUAUUUGAACUUGAGUUCGUGUGUUUGAUGAACUUGAGUUUGUGUGUUUGUUGAACUUGAGUUUGUGUGUUUGUUGAACUUGAGUUUGUGUCGGUUUGAACUUGAGUUUGUGGUGUUUUUGAACUUGAGGGUGUGUAAUUUGUUUAACUUGAGGUUGUGGCAAUUGUUAAACUUGAGUUUGUGUGUUUGUUGAACUUGAGUUUGUGGUGUUUGAACUCGAGUAUGUGUGUUUGUUGAACUUGAGUUUGUGUUGUGUUUGAAUUUGAGUUUGUGGCGUUUGUUGAACUUGAGUUUGUGGCAUUUGUUGAACUUGAGUUUGUGUGUUUGUUGAACUUGAAAUUGUGGCAAUUGUUUAACUUGAGAUUUGGGUGUUGGUUGAACUUGAGUUUGUGUCGUGUUUGAACUUGAGUUUUUUGUGUUUUUGAACUUGAGUUUGUGUUUUUUUUUAACUUUAGGUUGCAGGGUUUUUGAACUUGAGUUUGUUGAAGUUAAGGUUGUGGCAAUUGUUAAACUUGAGAUUUGGGUGUUGGUUGAACUUGAGUUUUUGCUGUUUUUGAACCUGAGUUUUUGGUGAUUUUGAACUUGAGUUACUGUGUUUGUUGAACUUGAGUUUGUGUUGCAUUUGAACUUGAGUUUGUGUCGUGUUUGAACUUGAGUUUGUGUGUUUUUUGAACUUGAGGUUGUGAAAAUGUUUAAUCUUGAGAAUCAGGUUUUGGUUGAACUUGAGUUUGUGGUUUUUGUUGAACUUGAGUUUGUGUAAAACUUGAGCUUGUGUGUUUUUUGAACUUGAGUCUGUGUUGUAUUUGAGCUGGAGGUUGUGGAAAUUGUUAAACUUGAGAUUUGGGUGUUGGUUGAACAUGAGUGUGUCUGUUUGUUGAACUUGAUUUUUUGUCGUGUUUGAACUUGAUUUUGUGGUGUUUUUGAACUUGAAUUUGCGUGUUUGUUGAACUUGAGUUUGUGUGUUUUUUGAACUUGAGUUUCUGUUGUUUUUGAACUUGAGGUUGUGGAAAUUGUUAAACUUGACAAUAAGGUGUUUUUGGUUGAACUUGAAUUUCUUUGUUUGUUGAACUUGAGUUUGUGUCGUGUUUGAAUUUGAGUUUGUGUUGUUUUUGAAUUUGAGUUUUUAUUAUUGCUUGAACUUGAGAUUUGGGUGUUGGUUGAACUUGAGUUUGUGGUGUUUAUGAACUUGAGGGUGUGUAAUUUGUUGAACUUGAGGUUGUGGCAAUUGUUAAACUUGAGUUUGUGUGUUUGUUGAACUUGAGUUUGUGUUGUUUUUGAACUUGAGUUUGUGGCGUUUCUGAACUUGAGUUGGUGGUGUUUUUGAACUUGAGUUUCAUGUUUGAACUUGAUUUUGUGGUUUUUGUUGAACUUGAGUUUGUGUCGGUGUGAACUUCAGUUUGUGGUGUUUUUUAACUUGAGUUUGUGGUUUUUUUGAAGUUGAGAGUGUGGAAUUUGUUGAACUUGAGGUUGUGGCAAUUGUUAAACUUGAGUUUGUGUUUUAGUUGAACUUGAGUUUGUGUCGUGUUUGAACUUGAGUUUUUGUGUUUUUUGAACUUAAGUUUGUGUUGUUUUUGAACAUGAGUUUGUUUCAUGUUUGAACUUGAGAUUGUGGCGUUUGUUGAACUUGAGAUUGUGGCGUUUGUUGAACUUGAGUUUGUGUGUUUGUUGAACUUGAGGGUGUGGCAAUUGUUAAAUUUUAGAUUUGGGGGUUGGUUGAACUUGAUUUUUUGUUGUUUUUGUACUGGAGUUUGUGGUUUUUUUGAAGUUGGGGGUGUGGAAUUUGUUGAAUUUGAGGUUGUGGCGAUUGUUUAACUUGAGUUUGUGUUUUAGUUGAACUUGAGUUUGUGUCAUGUUUGAACUUCAGUUUUUGUGUUUGUUGAACUUUAGUUUAUGUUGUGUUUGAACUUGAGUAUUUGUUGUAUUUGAAAUUGACUUUGUGUGUUUGUUGAACUUGAGUUUGUGUUGUGUUUGAACUUGAGUGUGUGUCAUGUUUGAACUUUAGUUAGUGGUGUUUUCGAACUUGAGUUUGUGUCGUGUUUGCACUUGAGUUUGUGGUGUUUUUGAACUUGAUUUGGUGUGUUUGUUGAACUUGAGUUUGUGGUCUUUUUGAACUCGAGUUGGUGGUGAUUUUGAACUUGAGUUUCGUGUUUGAACUUGAGUUUGUGGUUUUUGUUUAACUUGAGUUUGUGUCGUGUUUGAACUUGAGUUUGUGGUGUUUUUGAACUUGAGUUUCGUGUUUGAACUUGAGUUUGUGGUUUUUGUUUAACUUGAGUUUGUGUCGUGUUUGAACUUGAGUUUGUGGUUUUUGUUUAACUUGAGUUUGUGUCGUGUUUGAACUUGAGUUUGUGUGUUUUUUGAACUUGAGGUUGUGAAAAUGUUUAAUCUUGAGAAUCAGGUUUUGGUUGAACUUGAGUUUGUGGUUUUUGUUGAACUUGAGUUUGUGUAAAACUUGAGCUUGUGUGUUUUUUGAACUUGAGUCUGUGUUGUAUUUGAGCUGGAGGUUGUGGAAAUUGUUAAACUUGAGAUUUGGGUGUUGGUUGAACAUGAGUGUGUCUGUUUGUUGAACUUGAUUUUUUGUCGUGUUUGAACUUGAUUUUGUGGUGUUUUUGAACUUGAAUUUGCGUGUUUGUUGAACUUGAGUUUGUGUGUUUUUUGAACUUGAGUUUCUGUUGUUUUUGAACUUGAGGUUGUGGAAAUUGUUAAACUUGACUAUAAGGCGUUUUUGGUUGAACUUGAAUUUCUAUGUUUGUUGAACUUGAGUUUGUGUCGUGUUUGAAUUUGAGUUUGUGUUGUUUUUGAAUUUGAGUUUUUAUUAUUGCUUGAACUUGAGAUUUGGGUGUUGGUUGAACUUGAGUUUGUGGUGUUUAUGAACUUGAGGGUGUGUAAUUUGUUGAACUUGAGGUUGUGGCAAUUGUUAAACUUGAGUUUGUGUGUUUGUUGAACUUGAGUUUGUGUCGUGUUUGAACUUGAGUUUGUGUGAUUGUUGAACUUGAGGUUGUGGCAAUUGUUUAACUUGAGAUUUGGGUGUUGGUUGAACUUGAGUUUGUGUUGUUUUUGAACUUGAGUUUGUGGCGUUUCUGAACUUGAGUUGGCGGUGUUUUUGAACUUGAGUUUCAUGUUUGAACUUGAUUUUGUGGUUUUUGUUUAACUUGAGUUUGUGUCGUGUUUGAACUUCAGUUUGUGGUGUUUUUUAACUUGAGUUUGUGGUUUUUUUGAAGUUGAGAGUGUGGAAUUUUUUGAACUUCAGUUUAUGGCAAUUGUUAAACUUGAGUUUGUGUUUUAGUUGAACCUGAGUUUGUUUCGUGUUUGAACUUGAGUUUGUGGUGUUUUUAAACAUGACUUUGUGGUAUUUUUAAAUUUGAAGGGGUAGAAUUUGUUGAACUUGAGGUUGUGGCAAUUGUUAAACUUGAGUUUGUGUGUUUGUUGAACUUGAGUUUGUGUCGUGUUUGAACUUGAGUUUGUGUGUUUUUUGAACUUGAGGUUGUGAAAAUGUUUAAUCUUGAGAAUCAGGUUUUGGUUGAACUUGAGUUUGUGGUUUUUGUUGAACUUGAGUUUGUGUAAAACUUGAGCUUGUGUGUUUUUUGAACUUGAGUCUGUGUUGUAUUUGAGCUGGAGGUUGUGGAAAUUGUUAAACUUGAGAUUUGGGUGUUGGUUGAACAUGAGUGUGUCUGUUUGUUGAACUUGAUUUUUUGUCGUGUUUGAACUUGAUUUUGUGGUGUUUUUGAACUUGAAUUUGCGUGUUUGUUGAACUUGAGUUUGUGUGUUUUUUGAACUUGAGUUUCUGUUGUUUUUGAACUUGAGGUUGUGGAAAUUGUUAAACUUAACUAUAAGGCGUUUUUGGUUGAACUUGAAUUUCUAUGUUUGUUGAACUUGAGUUUGUGUCGUGUUUGAAUUUGAGUUUGUGUUGUUUUUGAAUUUGAGUUUUUAUUAUUGCUUGAACUUGAGAUUUGGGUGUUGGUUGAACUUGAGUUUGUGGUGUUUAUGAACUUGAGGGUGUGUAAUUUGUUGAACUUGAGGUUGUGGCAAUUGUUAAACUUGAGUUUGUGUGUUUGUUGAACUUGAGUUUGUGUCGUGUUUGAACUUGAGUUUGUGUGAUUGUUGAACUUGAGGUUGUGGCAAUUGUUUAACUUGAGAUUUGGGUGUUGGUUGAACUUGAGUUUGUGUUGUUUUUGAACUUGAGUUUGUGGCGUUUCUGAACUUGAGUUGGCGGUGUUUUUGAACUUGAGUUUCAUGUUUGAACUUGAUUUUGUGGUUUUUGUUUAACUUGAGUUUGUGUCGUGUUUGAACUUCAGUUUGUGGUGUUUUUUAACUUGAGUUUGUGGUUUUUUUGAAGUUGAGAGUGUGGAAUUUUUUGAACUUCAGUUUAUGGCAAUUGUUAAACUUGAGUUUGUGUUUUAGUUGAACCUGAGUUUGUUUCGUGUUUGAACUUGAGUUUGUGGUGUUUUUAAACAUGACUUUGUGGUAUUUUUAAAUUUGAAGGGGUAGAAUUUGUUGAACUUGAGGUUGUGGCAAUUGUUAAACUUGAGUUUGUGUGUUUGUUGAACUUGAGUUUGUGUCGUGUUUGAACUUGAGUUUGUGUGUUUUUUGAACUUGAGGUUGUGAAAAUGUUUAAUCUUGAGAAUCAGGUUUUGGUUGAACUUGAGUUUGUGGUUUUUGUUGAACUUGAGUUUGUGUAAAACUUGAGCUUGUGUGUUUUUUGAACUUGAGUCUGUGUUGUAUUUGAGCUGGAGGUUGUGGAAAUUGUUAAACUUGAGAUUUGGGUGUUGGUUGAACAUGAGUGUGUCUGUUUGUUGAACUUGAUUUUUUGUCGUGUUUGAACUUGAUUUUGUGGUGUUUUUGAACUUGAAUUUGCGUGUUUGUUGAACUUGAGUUUGUGUGUUUUUUGAACUUGAGUUUCUGUUGUUUUUGAACUUGAGGUUGUGGAAAUUGUUAAACUUGACUAUAAGGCGUUUUUGGUUGAACUUGAAUUUCUAUGUUUGUUGAACUUGAGUUUGUGUUGUGUUUGAAUUUGAGUUUGUGUUGUUUUUGAAUUUGAGUUUUUAUUAUUGCUUGAACUUGAGAUUUGGGUGUUGGUUGAACUUGAGUUUGUGGUGUUUAUGAACUUGAGGGUGUGUAAUUUGUUGAACUUGAGGUUGUGGCAAUUGUUAAACUUGAGUUUGUGUGUUUGUUGAACUUGAGUUUGUGUCGUGUUUGAACUUGAGUUUGUGUGAUUGUUGAACUUGAGGUUGUGGCAAUUGUUUAACUUGAGAUUUGGGUGUUGGUUGAACUUGAGUUUGUGUUGUUUUUGAACUUGAGUUUGUGGCGUUUCUGAACUUGAGUUGGUGGUGUUUUUGAACUUGAGUUUCAUGUUUGAACUUGAUUUUGUGGUUUUUGUUUAACUUGAGUUUGUGUCGUGUUUGAACUUCAGUUCGUGGUGUUUUUUAACUUGAGUUUGUGGUUUUUUUGAAGUUGAGAGUGUGGAAUUUUUUGAACUUCAGUUUGUGGCAAUUGUUAAACUUGAGUUUGUGUUUUAGUUGAACCUGAGUUUGUUUCGUGUUUGAACUUGAGUUUGUGGUGUUUUUAAACAUGACUUUGUGGUAUUUUUAAAUUUGAAGGGGUAGAAUUUGUUGAACUUGAGGUUGUGGCAAUUGUUAAACUUGAGAUUUGGGUGUUGGUUGAACUUGAGUUUGUGUUGUUUUUGAACUUGAGUUUGUGGCGUUUCUGAACUUGAGUUGGUGGUGUUUUUGAACUUGAGUUUCAUGUUUGAACUUGAUUUUGUGGUUUUUGUUGAACUUGAGUUUGUGUCGGUGUGAACUUCAGUUUGUGGUGUUUUUUAACUUGAGUUUGUGUUUUUUUUGAAGUUGAGAGUGUGGAAUUUGUUGAACUUGAGGUUGUGGCAAUUGUUAAACUUGAGUUUGUGUUUUAGUUGAACUUGAGUUUGUGUCGUGUUUGAACUUGAGUUUUUGUGUUUUUUGAACUUAAGUUUGUGUUGUUUUUGAACAUGAGUUUGUUUCAUGUUUGAACUUGAGAUUGUGGCGUUUGUUGAACUUGAGAUUGUGGCGUUUGUUGAACUUGAGUUUGUGUGUUUGUUGAACUUGAGGGUGUGGCAAUUGUUAAAUUUUAGAUUUGGGGGUUGGUUGAACUUGAUUUUUUGUUGUUUUUGUACUGGAGUUUGUGGUUUUUUUGAAGUUGGGGGUGUGGAAUUUGUUGAAUUUGAGGUUGUGGCGAUUGUUUAACUUGAGUUUGUGUUUUAGUUGAACUUGAGUUUGUGUCAUGUUUGAACUUCAGUUUUUGUGUUUGUUGAACUUUAGUUUAUGUUGUGUUUGAACUUGAGUUUUUGUUGUAUUUGAAAUUGACUUUGUGUGUUUGUUGAACUUGAGUUUGUGUUGUGUUUGAACUUGAGUGUGUGUCAUGUUUGAACUUUAGUUAGUGGUGUUUUCGAACUUGAGUUUGUGUCGUGUUUGCACUUGAGUUUGUGGUGUUUUUGAACUUGAUUUGGUGUGUUUGUUGAACUUGAGUUUGUGGUCUUUUUGAACUCGAGUUGGUGGUGAUUUUGAACUUGAGUUUCGUGUUUGAACUUGAGUUUGUGGUUUUUGUUUAACUUGAGUUUGUGUCGUGUUUGAACUUGAGUUUGUGGUGUUUUUGAACUUGAGUUUGUGUCGUGUUUGCACUUGAGUUUGUGGUGUUUUUGAACUUGAUUUGCUGUGUUUGUUGAACUUGAGUUUUUGGUCUUUUUGAACUUGAGUUGGUGGUGAUUUUGAACUUGAGUUUGUGGUAUUUCUGAAGUUGAGGGUGUGGAAUUUUUUUAACUUGAGGUUGUGGAAAUUGUUAAACUUGUGUGUUAUUUGAACUCUAGUUUGUGCCGUGUUUGAACUUGAGUUUGUGGUGUUUGUUGAACUCUAUUUUUUGUGUUUGUUGAACUUGAGUUUCGUGUUUGAACUUGAGUUUUUGGUUUUUGUUGAACUUGAGUUUGUGUCGUUUUUGAACUUGAGUUUCUGGUUUUUUGAAGUUGAGGGUGUGGAAUUUGUUGAACUUGAUGUUGUGGGAUUUUUUGAACUUGAGUUUGUGUUUAAGUUGAACUUGAGAUUGUGUCGUGUUUGAACUUGAGUUUUUGUGUUUGUUGAACUUAAGUUUGUGUUGUUUUUGAACAUGAGUUUGUUUCAUGUUUGAACUUGACUUUGUGGCUUUUGUUGAACUUGAGUUUGUGUGGUUGUUUAACUUGAGGUUGUGGCAGUUGUUAAGCUUGAGAUUUGGUUGUUGGUUGAACUCUAGUUUGUGUCGUGUUUGAACUUGAGUUUGUGGUUUUUGUUGAACUUGAGUUUGUGUUUUUUGUUGAACUUGAGUUUGUGUGUUUUUUGAACUUGAGUUUCUGUUGUUUUUUAACUUAAUGUUGUUGAAAUCUUUAAACUUGAGAAUUGUGUAUUGUUUGAUCUUUAGUUUGUGUGUUUGUUAAACUUGGGUUUGUGUCGUGUUUGAACUUGAGUUUGUGAUGUUUUUGAACUUGAGGUUGUGGAGAUUUUUUAUCUUGAGAAUUGGGUAUUGGUCGAACUUGAGUUUUUGUUGCUUUUUAACUUGAGUUUGUGACGUGUUUAAACUUAGGUUUUGGUGUGUUUUAACUUGAGUUUGUGUGUUUGUUGAACUUGAGGAUGUGGCAAUAGCUAAACUUAAGAUUUGGGUGUUGGUUGAAUUUGAGUUUGUGUCAUGUCUGAACUUGAGUUCAUGAUGUUUGUUUAACUUUAUUUUGUGUGUUUUUUGAACUUGAGGUUUUGAAAAUUUUUAAACUUGAGAAUCAGGUGUUUGUUGAACUUGAGUUUGUGGUUUUUUUUACUUGAGUUUGUGUCGUGUUUUAACUUGAGUUUGUGUUUUUCUUUAACUUGAGGUUGUGGAAAUUGUUAAACUUGAGAAUCUGGUAUUGGUUGAACUUGAGUCAUUGGUGUUUUUGAACUUGAGUUUGUGUCGUGUUUGAACUUGAGUUUGUGGUGUUUUUGACCUUGAAUUUGCGUGUUUGGUGAACUUGAGUUUGUGUGUUUGUUGCACUUGAGGUUGUGGCAAUUUUUAAACUUGAGACUUGGAUAUUGGUUGACCUUGAGUUUGUGUCGUGUUUCAACUUGAGUCUGUGUUCUUUUUGAACUUGAGCUUGUGGAAUUGUAAAACUUGAGAAUCAGGUGUUGGUUGAACUUGAAUUUGUGUUUUUUUUUAAACUUGAGUUUGUGUUGUGUUUGAACUUGAGUAUGUUGUGUAUUUGAACUUCAGUCUGUGUUGUUUUUGAACUUGAGGUGGUGGAAAUUGUUCAACUUGAGAAAGUGGGUAUUGGUUGAACUUGAGUUUAUAUUGUUUUUGAACUUGUGUUUGUGGUGUGUUUGAACUUGAGAUUGUGUGUUAUUUGAACUUGAGGUUGUUAAAAUUUUUAAACUUGAGAAUCAGGUGUUGGUUGAACUUGAGUUUGUGGUUUUUGUUGAACUUGAGUUUGUGGUGUGUUUGAACUUGAGAUUGUGUGUUAUUUAAACUUGAGGUUGUGAAAAUUUUUAAACUUGACAA